GCCAGACUCCUACGGGAGGCAGCAGUGAGGAAUAUUGGUCAAUGGGCGCGAGCCUGAACCAGCCAAGUCGCGUGAGGGAUGACGGUCCUACGGAUUGUAAACCUCUUUUGCCGGGGAGCAAGCGUGCGUUCGUGAACGCACGUCGAGAGUACCCGGAGAAAAAGCAUCGGCUAACUCCGUGCCAGCAGCCGCGGUAAUACGGAGGAUGCGAGCGUUAUCCGGAUUUAUUGGGUUUAAAGGGUGCGCAGGCGGAAGAUAAAGUCAGGGGUAAAAUUGAGAGGCUCAACCUCUUCGAGCCGUUGAAACUGGUUUUCUUGAGUGAGCGAGAAGUAUGCGGAAUGCGUGGUGUAGCGGUGAAAUGCAUAGAUAUCACGCAGAACUCCGAUUGCGAAGGCAGCAUACCGGCGCUCAACUGACGCUCAUGCACGAAAGUGUGGGUAUCGAACAGGAUUAGAUACCCGAGUA
RNAcentral lists this ribosomal RNA (465 nucleotides) under uncultured bacterium. RNAcentral's name for it is "bacterial SSU rRNA". It matches the Rfam family "Bacterial small subunit ribosomal RNA", at positions 330 to 792 of the family's 1533-position model. The record is from RNAcentral.